RNAcentral lists this transfer RNA (98 nucleotides) under Penicillium paxilli ATCC 26601. Its description in RNAcentral is "tRNA-Und (NNN) (tRNA-Und-NNN-6-1)". It matches the Rfam family "tRNA". From Rfam's summary of the family: Transfer RNA (tRNA) molecules are approximately 80 nucleotides in length. Their secondary structure includes four short double-helical elements and three loops (D, anti-codon, and T loops). Further hydrogen bonds mediate the characteristic L-shaped molecular structure. tRNAs have two regions of fundamental functional importance: the anti-codon, which is responsible for specific mRNA codon recognition, and the 3' end, to which the tRNAs corresponding amino acid is attached (by aminoacyl-tRNA synthetases). tRNAs cope with the degeneracy of the genetic code in two manners: having more than one tRNA (with a specific anti-codon) for a particular amino acid; and 'wobble' base-pairing, i.e. permitting non-standard base-pairing at the 3rd anti-codon position. The record is from RNAcentral. Lineage: Eukaryota; Fungi; Ascomycota; Eurotiomycetes; Eurotiales; Aspergillaceae.
GCCCAGGGUGGUGUAAUGGUAGCAUUGCUGAAAUUGCCGCGGCCGUCAGGCACAGGCGAAUAGCACAGCAGACCUGGGUUCGAAUCCCAGCCCUGGCC